GACGGAGGAGGCAAGCGUUGUCCGGAAUUAUUGGGCGUAAAGGGUACGUAGGCGGCUGGUCAAGUCUGGGGUCAAAGGCCACAGCUCAACUGUGGGAAGGCCCUGGAAACUGACCGGCUAGAGUGAGGUAGGGGUUGCGGGAAUUCCCGGUGUAGCGGUGAAAUGCGUAGAGAUCGGGAAGAACACCUGAGGCGGAAGCGCGCAACUGGGCCUCAACUGACGCUGAAUCACGAAAGCUAGGGGAUCAAACGGG
This 253-nucleotide ribosomal RNA is filed under the name uncultured bacterium. Its description in RNAcentral is "partial 16S ribosomal RNA". It matches the Rfam family "Bacterial small subunit ribosomal RNA", at positions 524 to 776 of the family's 1533-position model. The record is from RNAcentral.